RNAcentral lists this ribosomal RNA (341 nucleotides) under Macrobrachium rosenbergii (giant freshwater prawn). RNAcentral describes it as "partial large subunit ribosomal RNA". It matches the Rfam family "Bacterial large subunit ribosomal RNA", at positions 1991 to 2542 of the family's 2925-position model. Lineage: Eukaryota; Metazoa; Arthropoda; Malacostraca; Decapoda; Palaemonidae. The record is from RNAcentral.
AAUGAAUGGUUGGACGAGGGAUAAACUGUCUCCUUAGCGGCGUUUGAAUUUAACUUUUGAGUGAAAAGGCUUAAAUUGUUUAGGGGGACGAUAAGACCCUAUAAAACUUAAUAUAAUUUAGGCUUAACUUGCGAUGUGGGUGAAAAGUAGUUUUGUCUGGUUUAUAUUUCGUUGGGGAGAUGAAGAUAUAAUGAGUAACUGUCUAUAAAAUUUUAUAGCAUUGACUAGAAUUUGAUCCUUCCUUGGGGAUUAGGAGAAUAAGUUACUUUAGGGAUAACAGCGUGAUUUUCUUUGAGAGUUCUGAUCGACAAGAGUAGUUGCGACCUAGAUCUGAGUGACCG